AGUUAAUUAGCUUAUUAAGCAUUUAUUUUGAAAGUAAAAGGAAAGAGGUUAACUCUAUUAACUU
This 64-nucleotide transfer RNA is filed under the name Tettigades ulnaria. Its description in RNAcentral is "tRNA-Ser". It matches the Rfam family "tRNA". Rfam says of the family: Transfer RNA (tRNA) molecules are approximately 80 nucleotides in length. Their secondary structure includes four short double-helical elements and three loops (D, anti-codon, and T loops). Further hydrogen bonds mediate the characteristic L-shaped molecular structure. tRNAs have two regions of fundamental functional importance: the anti-codon, which is responsible for specific mRNA codon recognition, and the 3' end, to which the tRNAs corresponding amino acid is attached (by aminoacyl-tRNA synthetases). tRNAs cope with the degeneracy of the genetic code in two manners: having more than one tRNA (with a specific anti-codon) for a particular amino acid; and 'wobble' base-pairing, i.e. permitting non-standard base-pairing at the 3rd anti-codon position. Lineage: Eukaryota; Metazoa; Arthropoda; Insecta; Hemiptera; Cicadidae. The record is from RNAcentral.